UUGUUAGGGAAGAACAAGUAUCGGAGUAACUGCCGGUACCUUGACGGUACCUAACCAGAAAGCCACGGCUAACUCGUGCCAGCAGCCGCGGUAAUACGUAGGUGGCAAGCGUUGUCCGGAAUUAUUGGGCGUAAAGCGCGCGCAGGCGGUCCUUUAAGUCUGAUGUGAAAGCCCACGGCUCAACCGUGGAGGGUCAUUGGAAACUGGGGGACUUGAGUGCAGAAGAGGAAAGCGGAAUUCCACGUGUAGCGGUGAAAUGCGUAGAGAUGUGGAGGAACACCAGUGGCGAAGGCGGCUUUCUGGUCUGUAACUGACGCUGAGGCGCGAAAGCGUGGGGAGCAAACAGGAUUAGAUACCCUGGUAGUCCACGCCGUAAACGAUGAGUGCUAAGUGUUAGAGGGUUUCCGCCCUUUAGUGCUGCAGCUAACGCAUUAAGCACUCCGCCAGCUUACGACCCGAAGGCCUUCAUCGCUCACGCGGCGUUGCUCCGUCAG
This 494-nucleotide ribosomal RNA is filed under the name uncultured bacterium. RNAcentral describes it as "bacterial SSU rRNA". It matches the Rfam family "Bacterial small subunit ribosomal RNA", at positions 434 to 873 of the family's 1533-position model. The record is from RNAcentral.